Clupea harengus (Atlantic herring) is the source of this 1048-nucleotide long non-coding RNA. The record is from Ensembl. Lineage: Eukaryota; Metazoa; Chordata; Actinopteri; Clupeiformes; Clupeidae.
CUCGUAUUGGGUUGCUGGUGUAAUCAUUGUAUUAACACGGCCCCUGUUGUGAGUAUCGCUUAAAGUUAGAGCUAUUCAUAAUAUCCCAUAUGUUGUUAUGGCACAAGCUAUUAUCUCGACGAUUUAUAUUAGCUAAUCUGCCGGGGCUUUUCCGCUGCCCGUUUGCUGCCCCUUUAGUGAUCCUUUCCCUCAGCAGUUUGGAAGACAUUGAAUGAUCGGCACUGCAGCAAGUUUACAAACCAGUUGAACUGCACCACUGAGAAGAACGACACUGGUGUUAAUUUGCUGGUAUCCUUUUGGAAACCCUCUCCGCUAGCUACGAACUCACUGCCUAGCUAUUUAUACGUCUCUUUGUUUCCCCCAUCAAAAGUGGUGAUCUCAUCAAGCUAACGCCAGACUGUCCACACGGAUGUGCGACAUCUACCGAAGUGUCCCGUUGUCUUACAUGUUUGUUUUAGUUCAGUCCAGAAGACUGGAAGUUGCCAGAGUCCCAGGUAGUGGAAUCGAAAAGUCCGGACAAACUCCGUCCCGACGAGGACAAAUGCAAGACGACGUGUACCGAAGCGGCCAUUUGACCGAAAAGAAGUUGUCAGUCAUGUCAUCUGCAUAUUACAUGCAGUAGCCGGCGGUCUUGUCAAAAGUUACUAGUGCAAGUAACAGAGUUUGAUGGAAUAGCAGGCCUAGUUGCAUGCCCUGAAGAUUUGCAUUAAUAAACGACCGGGUUUGAGGCAACGGCACUAUGUCGGACGACAACAACGUUGACAAAUUUAUAAAGGAGACCUCCAUCUUGGAGGAGUACAACAUCAACUGGACACAGAAGCUCGGAGCUGGCAUCAGUGGACCUGUGAGGUGAGUGAUCACACGGAUGUCAGCUCAGUCAUGGAAGACAUCCACUGUCCCUCAGACAGUCACUUGACUGUCUGUGAGCGGCCUGCUGUUGUUGUUCCACUAGUGUGAAGCGUGUUUGCCAAAUUUCUCAAAGACCUAAGUCCAAGACUGAGUUUGCAAAUGAAUUGUGAUUCUGGUGUGAUUGGCACUCAGACAAGAC